GAGAGAGAGAGAGAGAGAGUGAGAGUGAGUGGAGGUUUUGUGUUUGUCUCUCAACUCUCAAGUUCGUCCCUCUGUCCUCUCUUUCUUUCUCCUCUCGAGGGUUAGUAGAGAACUAACAACUUCAUAUCGAUUACAGAGAAGAGAGAAGAGAGAAACUCUAACUUAAUCCUCUGAGAAUCUCACCGGAGAAGAAGCUAGGGUUUUGGCUAAUGCGCGAAUCCUCUCUCCAAAAUUGACAACAUGGAUUCGGAUUCGUCUAUGGCACCAGAGGAGAACGAUCAAGAUCCCGCGUCUCUCAAUCACCAACCUCCACCUCAAGAUUCUCCCUC
RNAcentral lists this long non-coding RNA (329 nucleotides) under Brassica napus (rape). RNAcentral describes it as "long non-coding RNA (BNAP_LNC003645)". The record is from RNAcentral. Lineage: Eukaryota; Viridiplantae; Streptophyta; Magnoliopsida; Brassicales; Brassicaceae.